This 407-nucleotide ribosomal RNA is filed under the name uncultured bacterium. Its description in RNAcentral is "bacterial SSU rRNA". It matches the Rfam family "Bacterial small subunit ribosomal RNA", at positions 28 to 418 of the family's 1533-position model. The record is from RNAcentral.
GACGAACGCUGGCGGCGUGCUUAACACAUGCAAGUCGAACGAGAAAGGGGCUUCGGCUCCGAGUAAAGUGGCGCACGGAUGAGUAACACGUAGGUAACCUGCCUCUAAGAUUGGGAUAACAUGUCGAAAGACGUGCUAAUACCGAAUAAGACCACGGCUUCCUCGGAAGCAGGGGUCAAAGAUAGCCUCUACUUGUAAGCUAUCACUUAGAGAUGGGCCUGCGUACCAUUAGCUAGUUGGUAGGGUAAUGGCCUACCAAGGCAAAGAUGGUUAGCUGGUCUGAGAGGAUGAUCAGCCACACUGGAACUGAGACACGGUCCAGACUCCUACGGGAGGCAGCAGUGGGGAAUAUUGCGCAAUGGGCGAAAAGCCUGACGCAGCAACGCCGCGUGAGUGAUGAAGGCCUU